Molecule: long non-coding RNA, 1759 nt
Organism: Cryptotermes secundus
Lineage: Eukaryota; Metazoa; Arthropoda; Insecta; Blattodea; Kalotermitidae
Exons: 2
Source: RefSeq, a predicted model, not a curated record
AGUGGCCCCAGUACAAGGAACUUAGUCCCACCCCACUAGCGAUAAAAAAAAAUUCAUCCAGCUUCUGCUCAUUACAGUGUUUCAGAGGCACACGUCUUCUGGGUUGAAGAGUACUGCACGCAAGAAACCAGGAUGGCUUACUCUUUGACCAUGAAGAUGGUGAUGUCUUCUUGUGAAGAUGUUACACAGUAGGAAGAAAGAAUAUGGGAAGAAACCAAGAAGCUGUAAGAUGAACAGGACUGAAGAAGAGGUUUAUAAGAAUGGAAAUGUCAGAGGAAGAAAUAUGCUUAAUAAUAUACAUAAAGAUAAGCAUACUGGUGAGUGUAAGGACAGACAAUAAGCAGUAAAUAUAUUAUCCUCAGAAUGUCCUUAUAUGGUGAUAUUCCAGAAAAUUUAGAUGUGAUAACAUAUAUGGGAUAAUAAUUAAUGUUUAUUAUCUGUAUUACUGUAGACAAUUGCACUAUCAAGUUUUCUCCUAAAUAAGAGAUCCAAGUCUCAUGGAAAUAAGGAAAUACUGUAUAUUUCAUAUACACCGGGCUUUUCAAUAGCAAGAGACGUAAAUUAAAAACUGAAUAUGCGUUGUCCUUUCCUGCUUUUUCAUAUUGUAACCAUUUUCCUGAUAUAUUAAAGAUAAAUUAUCAUACUUCAUAUUGACAUACAAUAUUUAAUAUUUGUUGAGAUUUAUAGUUAAGAAGAGUACUGUGUUUAUAAAAUACCUGUUUGACAGUAUCAAGUCAUUCAACUUGGAAACAGCAAAGUUUUCAUGAGAUGCCAAAGCAAAAAAGUGAUCUUUCUGGGUUAUAAUACAAUGAUAAUUCACCAAAACAAUUCAAAUGUCACGAAACGGAGAGACAAUUCAUAGCCAUUUGAGAAUGGACUGUAUGAAUGUCACUUAACUAAAUAACUUUACAGUUUACAAACAAGAUUAACUCAAACACAAAUUAUACUACAUGAAUGAUUAAUACUGGAAAGACAGUAACACGAAUUCAAGAUACUGGCCACAGAAAAAUAGCUUAAAGAUUACUGCAAAAACAAACUCAGUAUUAUAACAUACUACUAAUCCUAAAUUUAGCAUUAAAUGGCAUACAAAUAAUUCAAGAAAAAUAAACACAAUUAUUAUAUUUAUAUAAUGCAAACCAAACUUUUAAUACUUAUAUAUAAGGACCUUAGUAGUAACAGUCAAAUAAAAAAUCAAAUUAAAAAAUGGCACAUUUUUUGAUCAAAGAAGUUUCAGCAAUAUACCAAACAUAAACCAACACAAUUCCAAGUGCUCUGUAAAUUCAUAAAUUCAAUCUAUUGUAGUCCCAAUUCUUUUUAGGCAUUUACCUUUCUGAAGCAACAUUAAACAUGCUCACACAUAUAAGGUCUGAAGACAAACAUGACUGUUCAUAAAUUUGAGGAAAAUUAAUCUUAGAGAAACUACACAUGUAAUUUCAUGAAUACAUGACCAAAACUGACUUUUAAACAAACAAAUGCUAUUAUUCAUUUUCAUGGUAAAACCCUGAAGAUGGAGUCAAUACAUUCACCUGAAACACUGAUAUUAAUCAACAAUAUUAUAUUUACUUAUUUGAAAAUGAGAAUUGAAAUAUACAAAAUUCUCUAUUGAGAGUUCCAUCUUCUGAGAUGUAAUGCUGUGUGAUGUAAAUAUCAACUGAUGGUUCAGAGGACCAUAUAACCUCUAUCUUCAGGGACCAAAGAGCAAGUCAAUCUGGAAAUCAGGGGAGAAGGGGGGGGGAAGCAAGAGCUUGUCUUGGUUAGU